Molecule: ribosomal RNA, 450 nt
Filed under: uncultured bacterium
Lineage: Bacteria
Description: bacterial SSU rRNA
Rfam family: Bacterial small subunit ribosomal RNA
Source: RNAcentral
UGGGGAAUUUUGCGCAAUGGGCGAAAGCCUGACGCAGCAACGCCGCGUGGAGGAUGAAGGUUCUCUGAAUCGUAAACUCCUGUCGGCCGGGAAGAAUGGGCAGGGUGCUAAUCAGCCCUGUUUUGACUGUACCGGCAAAGGAAGCCCCGGCUAACUCCGUGCCAGCAGCCGCGGUAAUACGGGGGGGGCAAGCGUUACUCGGAAUUAUUGGGCGUAAAGGGCGCGUAGGCGGUCGUGUGCGUCGGAGGUGAAAUCCCCAGGCUUAACCUGGGAACUGCCUCCGAUACGGCAUGGCUUGAGUCCGGGAGAGGGGAGCAGAAUUCCCAGUGUAGCGGUGAAAUGCGUAGAUAUUGGGAGGAAUACCAGUGGCGAAGGCGGCUCCCUGGACCGGUACUGACGCUGAGGCGCGAAAGCGUGGGUAGCAAACAGGAUUAGAUACCCGCGUAGUCC